Molecule: ribosomal RNA, 500 nt
Filed under: uncultured bacterium
Lineage: Bacteria
Description: partial 16S ribosomal RNA
Rfam family: Bacterial small subunit ribosomal RNA
Source: RNAcentral
AUUGAACGCUGGCGACAUGCCUUACACAUGCAAGUCGAACGGCAGCACGGGAGCAAUCCUGGUGGCGAGUGGCGAACGGGUGAGUAAUAUAUCGGAACGUGCCCAGUCGUGGGGGAUAACGUAGCGAAAGCUACGCUAAUACCGCAUACGAUCUAUGGAUGAAAGCGGGGGAUCGCAAGACCUCGCGCGCUUGGAACGGCCGAUAUCAGAUUAGGUAGUUGGUGGGGUAAAGGCUCACCAAGCCGACGAUCUGUCGCUGGUCUGAGAGGACGACCAGCCACACUGGGACUGAGACACGGCCCAGACUCCUACGGGAGGCAGCAGUGGGGAAUUUUGGACAAUGGGCGCAAGCCUGAUCCAGCAAUGCCGCGUGCAGGAUGAAGGCCUUCGGGUUGUAAACUGCUUUUGUACGGAGCGAAAAGGCUUCCACUAAUACUGGGGGCUCAUGACGGUACCGUAAGAAUAAGCACCGGCUAACUACGUGCCAGCAGCCGCCGUAA